RNAcentral lists this ribosomal RNA (253 nucleotides) under uncultured bacterium. Its description in RNAcentral is "partial 16S ribosomal RNA". It matches the Rfam family "Bacterial small subunit ribosomal RNA", at positions 524 to 776 of the family's 1533-position model. The record is from RNAcentral.
UACGGAGGGUCCAAGCGUUAUCCGGAAUCAUUGGGUUUAAAGGGUCCGUAGGCGGUUUUGUAAGUCAGUGGUGAAAGCCCAUCGCUCAACGGUGGAACGGCCAUUGAUACUGCAAAACUUGAAUUAUUGGGAAGUAACUAGAAUAUGUAGUGUAGCGGUGAAAUGCUUAGAUAUUACAUGGAAUACCAAUUGCGAAGGCAGGUUACUAUCAAUAUAUUGACGCUGAUGGACGAAAGCGUGGGGAGCGAACCGG